AUUGAACGCUGGCGGCAUGAUUUACACAUGCAAGUCGAACGGUAACAGGCCGCAAGGUGCUGACGAGUGGCGCACGGGUGAGUAAUGCAUCGGAACGUGCCCAGUCGUGGGGGAUAACUACUCGAAAGAGUAGCUAAUACCGCAUACGAUCUAUGGAUGAAAGCGGGGGACCGUAAGGCCUCGCGCGAUUGGAGCGGCCGAUGUCAGAUUAGGUAGUUGGUGGGGUAAAGGCUCACCAAGCCAACGAUCUGUAGCUGGUCUGAGAGGACGACCAGCCACACUGGGACUGAGACACGGCCCAGACUCCUACGGGAGGCAGCAGUGGGGAAUUUUGGACAAUGGGCGCAAGCCUGAUCCAGCAAUGCCGCGUGCAGGAAGAAGGCCUUCGGGUUGUAAACUGCUUUUGUACGGAACGAAACGGCUCUGGUUAAUACCCGGGGCUAAUGACGGUACCGUAAGAAUAAGCACCGGCUAACUACGUG
This 482-nucleotide ribosomal RNA is filed under the name uncultured bacterium. RNAcentral's name for it is "partial 16S ribosomal RNA". It matches the Rfam family "Bacterial small subunit ribosomal RNA", at positions 30 to 507 of the family's 1533-position model. The record is from RNAcentral.